UCUGAAUCUGCGUACGGCUCCGCAAACCAGUUGUAAACUAUAGCAAGCAAUCCUCGGCUGGGCCUCGGGCCGGUCGGGGUAACAUGGAUAACCCUGGUAAUUCUGAGGCUAAUACAAGAACGUAAUCCCUGGCUGACCGGCAACGGAAGGCUGGGGGACGUGCAAUGAUUUUCGUAAGAUUAACCGGGAAAGGGUGCACGUUCGGACCGCGCUAAAAACGAAUCUUGGUGAGCCCUCACGGGUGAGCCUUGGCUCGAGCGGCUCUUGCGAUGUGCUUCUGACCUAUCAACUAGAUGGCAGCGUAAGGGACAUGCUAUGGU
Molecule: ribosomal RNA, 320 nt
Filed under: Polyschismium granuliferum
Lineage: Eukaryota; Evosea; Eumycetozoa; Physariida; Didymiaceae
Description: bacterial SSU rRNA
Rfam family: Eukaryotic small subunit ribosomal RNA
Source: RNAcentral